Molecule: ribosomal RNA, 381 nt
Filed under: marine copepod environmental sample
Lineage: Eukaryota; Metazoa; Arthropoda; Copepoda
Description: SSU rRNA
Rfam family: Eukaryotic small subunit ribosomal RNA
Source: RNAcentral
AGCUCCAAUAGCGUAUAUUAAAGUUGUUGUGGUUAAAAAGCUCGUAGUUGGAUCUCAACAGACUUGGAUCGGUUUACUUUGUGUAAUACUGAUCCAAAGCUGUGCUUUUGUCGGAGGUUUAGGGGUGCUCUUAACCGAGUGUCUCUGAGUGCCGACAGGUUUACUUUGAAAAAAUUAGGGUGCUUAAAGCGGGCUGUUAUGCUCGAAUAUUUGUGCAUGGAAUAAUAGAAUAGGAUGUUGAUCUUAUUUUGGUGGUUUUCGAGACUUGACAUAAUGAUUAAGAGGGACAGUCGGGGGCAUUUGUAUUCAAACGACAGAGGUGAAAUUCUUGGACCGUUUGAAGACAAACUACUGCGAAAGCAUUUGCCAAGAAUGUUUUCA